RNAcentral lists this ribosomal RNA (433 nucleotides) under uncultured bacterium. Its description in RNAcentral is "partial 16S ribosomal RNA". It matches the Rfam family "Bacterial small subunit ribosomal RNA", at positions 29 to 507 of the family's 1533-position model. The record is from RNAcentral.
AACGAACGCUGGCGGCAUGCCUAACACAUGCAAGUCGAACGAGACCUUCGGGUCUAGUGGCGCACGGGUGCGUAACGCGUGGGAACCUGCCCUUAGGUUCGGAAUAACUCCCCGAAAGGGGUGCUAAUACCGGAUAAUGUCUUCGGACCAAAGAUUUAUCGCCUUUGGAUGGGCCCGCGUUGGAUUAGCUAGUUGGUAGGGUAAAAGCCUGCCAAGGCGACGAUCCAUAGCUGGUCUGAGAGGAUGAUCAGCCACACUGGGACUGAGACACGGCCCAGACUCCUACGGGAGGCAGCAGUGGGGAAUAUUGGACAAUGGGCGAAAGCCUGAUCCAGCAAUGCCGCGUGAGUGAUGAAGGCCUUAGGGUUGUAAAGCUAUUUUACCCGGGAUGAUAAUGACAGUACCGGGAGAAUAAGCUCCGGCUAACUCCGUG